AAAAUUCCUUGCAUGUACCAGUACUUGCUUGGAACAAUUAAAAGAACGAGAAUAAGUGUAAAGGUGCGAUAGACAAAGCUUUCAGACUGCAGUGCUUUCAGUAAGAUUUGAAGUAGGUGUCUCCCUUUUGUUAGCACCUGCCAGAGCUGAUAAAAGGGGCCAAAGGCCCCUGUCCUCUAGGGAGGUAUGGGGGCAUGUCUCCGCCCCCCCGAAAAUUUUUGAAAUCGGGAAGCUCGGAAACAUGAUUUCCGGUGAUUUGAGGCAAAAUAUUAACACCCAAGCAUUAUUAAUUUUUAUCAGAAAAAAGUAUUCUACUGCAGAGUUCAAUGCAAUUUUAUUAUUCAAUGCAAUAUUAUUUUCAGGUGUGUAUAUACUACUGAGAAGUUACAUACUGAAGUCAAGACCUUUUAAAAGCCAGUCAUUCGUGAUAUACAAGACUUGGCUUGAUGUUAACUUCUUACACCAGAUUAAAGCCUUACCCGAUUGCGUCCGUGAGCUUUUUGAAGUAGAACUAGAAGCAGACAGAAACGACAGCAUGGACUGCUGCCGCUUCGUUGUGGAACUGUCGAUGCAUGAAAACGAGGCCUGCUUCUUAAAACACAAGGUACAUCAUGUAAUCUGCGCUGGAGUGUGACCUUUAGUGACGAUGAUGUUUACGACAAUGUUACGUUUAAUACGCAAAUGAAAAUCGACUACUUGUGGCUUUUAAAGCAGUAAAAUCACAGGCACGUUAAUGCAGGAAAACAGCUGGCGAUUCGCGAGAGUACCCGCCGGAGCUCCGGCAGGAGCCGGGUCUUACUGAAAGCGAUGUUUCAGACUAUGAAAUCAAAUGCAGGAAGUGUAACACCGUCUAUGGCGGAUAUACAUCAAGGAAAGCAUACACCAGAGGGAAGAACACAGCAAGUCAAUAAGCAAUGAAGAGCGAUCCGCCUUGAAGAAACAUUGUAAGGAAAAACAUAACAAUGAAAUACAGAAAUUUUAAUGUUACUAGUUUUUACUAAAAUGCUGUGCUAAGGCAAAUAUCAGGUGUUAGGAAAGCACACUAAUCAUGCUAAUGAACGCUAAGAAUGCAACUAUCGCCCCAUUCCACGUGAGGCAGUCACAUAUGAUGACGUCCAUUCACUAAGAUAGGAUACCAGAGUGACUUAAUGAAAUCAGAGAACACAUUAGUUGUUUCAAUUGUUUUCAGCAUUUAAAAAUUCCUCAGAAGACAAUCAAAAGAGGACGAUAACAAUAGUGCCUUCAUUUGGCUUCAAAUAUUUGUACCAACAUUAAGUCUUGGCCAGACAUAUUUGAUCCCAGGACAGGUAAUGUACACUGUAAAUAUCUGAUUCAAGAAGUUUUGGAAUGAAUAAUAAAAGUACUACCACCACUUUGAAAGUAAAAAACUUCAAUUGUGCUUUGCUUAAAUUACUAUUUUUAUUUCAACAAAACAGACAGGAAUUCAUUCUUAUUUUCACUUGUCACCAUUUGAUUAGCCAAUCAAUAAAUAGUUUCUACUUUCCACUUUAGUCCUUCCUGACUCUUAAUGACUGGAAAAAGGCCUAGGCUAAAAAUACUCUAAUAUUUAUCAGGGUGCAAGCCUCAUACUCAGGAGUAGGCAUUUCCCAUAUCCAUUGUUCGUCGUGUAACAAAUCAAAGAACAAAUUAAACAAAUUAUGGAUCAAAUUGACAACAAACAGACUAUACAGACACCAGAAUAAAUCAACACUGACUUUAUUAUUUACAGAGGCAAUGUCAGUGGCAAGAUCAUACUUGGAUGUAUGUCUGAGUAACGACACCACUGUUUUUACCAGUAAAUACACGAAAAACCUUUCUAUGCUCUUCUCUCUGCUUAAAAGUCUACCAACAAACAGUUCCUUUGGUCUUAACACCUACAUUACUUCUGAAAAUACGAAGCUCCAACAAGAGAAUUUCCAUCUGCUUAUUACACAAAUAAAAAAAAA
RNAcentral lists this long non-coding RNA (1946 nucleotides) under Orbicella faveolata. Its description in RNAcentral is "uncharacterized LOC110062827". Lineage: Eukaryota; Metazoa; Cnidaria; Anthozoa; Scleractinia; Merulinidae. The record is from RNAcentral.